GCCGGGCGUGGUGGUGCUCGCCUGUAGUCCAUGCUACACAGGAGGCUGAGGCAAGAGGAUCGCUUGAGCCCGUAAGGUCGGGGCUGCAGUGAGCCAAGAUGGCACCACUGCACUCCUGCCUAGGCAAGAGAGUGAGACCCUGUCUCGA
Molecule: non-coding RNA, 148 nt
Filed under: Nomascus leucogenys (northern white-cheeked gibbon)
Lineage: Eukaryota; Metazoa; Chordata; Mammalia; Primates; Hylobatidae
Source: Rfam by way of RNAcentral